This 223-nucleotide unclassified non-coding RNA is filed under the name plant metagenome. RNAcentral describes it as "partial contains small subunit ribosomal RNA, internal transcribed spacer 1, and 5.8S ribosomal RNA". The record is from RNAcentral.
UUUCCGUAGGUGAACCUGCGGAAGGAUCAUUAUCAUGUAAUUCAGUCCCCUUGGCUGUGUUAUAUAUAUACCCACUCUGUGUACCUUCUCCUGUUGCUUCCGCUGGGUGUGUAAUUCGCCCGGCGGGAGGGUAAAAAUAACCUCUGAGUAUUGAUGAAAUCUCUGUCUGAACCGAAUAGAAAGAAAAAUGUUAAAACUUUCAGCAACGGAUCUCUUGGUUCUC